GAGGCCGGCAAAAAGAAAGCGUUCGUGACGUUCUUGGGAGGUGGCGGUGACUAUGUGAAGGGUGUGGUUGGGCUGGCUAAGGGACUGAGGCAAGUUAACUCAGCCUACCCUCUUGUGGUGGCUGUGCUGCCUGAUGUUCCGCAAGAGCACCGCCUUCUGAUGGUGCAGAGUGGGUGCAUUCUGAAAGAUAUUGACUGGGUGCAGCCACCGAAGAUUGACAAGUCGAUAGGGUGGGCUCAUGAGCAUUUUGCCAUCAACUACUCCAAGCUUCGCAUCUUCCAGGUAAUUUAAGUUGACGCUACUUGAGGAUAAUUUAAGUGCAUCUAUUUAGUUUUUGGUUUGUUCAGUUGGAUAUGGUCAAGCGGUUAGAAUUUUGGUCAAGUGGUCGGUUUGAUAAGUUCUUUAAAAAACAAGUUAUUUAUGAGAAAAAAUAUAUGUUACAUGUUUUGACUUUUUGGGAAGUAUCUGUCAACGUGGAAGAUCCGAGGCCUUUUAUCCUUUUCCAACAGAUUUGGAAAUAAUAAGUCGGUGGCGUCUAAUUUUUGAUAUAAUUUUUAUUUAUUUUGGUGCAGUUCGAGGAGUAUAGCAAGAUGGUAUACUUGGAUGGGGAUAUUCAAGUAUACGGCAACGUGGACGAGCUGUUUGACUUGCCGAAUGGCCAUUUGUAUGGCGUUUUGGAUUGUUUCUGUGAGUGGCAUCAUUCCCCGCAGUACAAGAUUGGCUACUGCCAACAGUGCCCUGAUAGAGUGCAGUGGCCAGCCGAAUUGGGUCAGCCUCCUUCCUCUUAUUUCAAUGCUGGAAUGUUCGUGUUCGAGCCGAGUCAAGCCACUUAUGAUGAUAUGAUGCACACUAUCAAAAUCACUCCUCCUUCGGCCUUCGCUGAACAGGUAUAACAUCAAAUUUGUUGACAUAUUAGCCUAUCGUAACUAUCAAGUGACCAGUUAUUCUAAAAUCUCGAAAUUACGUGCAGGACUUGUUGAACAUGUACUUCAGGGGAAUUUUCAAGCCGAUUCCAAAUAUUUACAAUCUUUUAGUUCCAAUGUUGUGGACUCAUCCGGAGAAUGUGGAGCUUGAGAAAGUGAAAGUUGUUCAUUUUUGCGCAAAUGUAAGAUACCGAUUACCAUGUGUUGAUUCGGUUCUUUGAUAUUCAACAAAUUCGCCUCGUUAAUUACUUAAACUAAUAUGUGUUGUACUAAUGACAGGGCUCGAAGCCGUGGAGAUACACUGGAAAGGAUGAGCAUAUGGACAGGGAAGAUGUGAAGAUGCUCGUGAAGAAAUGGUGGGACAUUUACAACGACGAGUCGUUAAGCUACAAGAAGCCAUUGGCAGCGAACGUCGGAGUUAAGGUUCCGAAAGAUCUUUCGGACAAGGAGAAGAGAGGCUUGCGUCCUAUGGUCACUGGUGUAGUUAAGGUUCCUGCUUCGUAGUGCUGCAACUUAAGUUGUGUAAUAAGGCGAGUAAUUAGUAGCUUGCGGUGUGUAUCGAUUUUUCAGUUUGGUUGUAUAUGUUUGAAUUCUUAUUUAUAUAAUAUUCAGAAUUUGUAUACUUUCUUCUUUUUAUACGACAACCGAAAAUGUAUUGUCAUUUACGAACUUAAUUUGAAUGUGGAAAAUAAUUUGAUAAGGAAAUAGGAGAAAGACGAAUGCAACCGAACCCAUUUCAAUUUUCAUUCAGAUUCAGAUUAUUUUUCACCAAAAUUUGAAUAUACAAUUUACAAAGAACUACAGCGAGAGUCCAAUCCAAACUAUUUAUCACACUCACAUCCAUGAUCCAAAUUUAAGUACACAUUUUUAUCUUGUAAAUAUGAAAAAGCAGCAACUGUGGUAGCUGUCAAGGGAUCCACAACAGGGGAGUGCAGCGGGCCAUCCCAGACUCCAUAGUCCAUCAACUAGUUCAGGAAAACAACACAAAAAUGGAGUCCACCAAGAAAGGCAAAAUUCAUAACCACAAAAGAGGAGGAAGCUGCUGGGCCAUAUUAAGCUAAACACCACAACUACCACUCAACACUCAAUAGUAAGCGGCCUACGUUGAUAUAAAUUACCGCAUCAAUUCUCAACUAACUCGUCCACACUUUGACUGUUUGACACGAAAACUUUUUGGGUCGUUUGGGUUAACUUAAAAGAAGUGAUUUCUUGCUUAAAUUAAAUAAGUGAAGUAGAAGUGAGGAAUAAAUAAGUUAAUAAAGUGUUUGGAAAAGAAGUAAAAGCUGGGAAAAAGAAGCUAAUAUUUUCGGCUUCUUAAAAGUACUUUUACUUAUUUACACAGACGGGUCAAGAGAAGUAUAAGUCAAAAGCAGCUUCAGCUUCUGUCAAACAAACAGCUCCUUUAUCUUCUGAUACUGAAGCUACAUGGAUGUUCCAGAUUACACUAAAUUUUCCACAGAGCACAUUUUUAUGCCGCAACAACAUCCUCGGCUACAGAGGUUCCCACAAAGGAUGAAUUUUGAUUCACUUAGAUAAGGUAAAUUACUCUGGAUUUGUACGUGUGGACUAUUCUCGAAAAACAAGUGCAGGUCCCUUGAUGUAGGUACGUGUCACUUACUCACUUGUUAUGGAGACGUGGAGUACGAGGUGGAUUGAAUAAGAGACACGUGUGUUCUACUGAUAACAUUUUUUAUUUUAAAAUUUUUGGAUGAUGAAAAUAUUUUCAGAAAAUUUGAAAAUAUACAGACAUGCUUGAUGUCAUCGAAGCAAUCAAUCAACCUGCAUCUUGAAUCUAUCAAUUGGAUCCUCAUAAUGUAACAGUUCUUCUGUCCCAAUUAUUCUUUUUACACUUUUUUCUGAAAAAUUGAAAUGCCUCAUCUUUCAAAAUUUAUUAAAUAGAAUAAAAUUUUAUAAUAUAAAAAUCAACUAUCUCAUUAAUUUUCUUCAUUAUACUUACUUUAUAUAUUAAAUAUCAACCGGUCACAUUAUUAUCAUCACUUUUUUAUUUUUUAUUUUUAUAUGAUAUAAAUAUUUAACUUUCAUGUUUAAUUCAAAUAUAAAUAUUUUGAAGGAGUACAACUUAUUUUGGACCAGAUGAAUUAGAACAUUCAAAUCAGUACGUAUCAGCAGACUUAAAUUGUGAAGUUUAAGCAUAACUAGUGUGUGGAAUCAACAUCUACGACCAUGACUUUUAAAAUGUUGCAUGAAAUCAAGAAGGUAAUAUUAAUGACUUGCAGGAUAUUUAAAAUAAAAUAAUAAAAAUAAAAAUGAUUUAUGGAUAACAUGUGUCUUAUGAUUAAUUUUUAUCAGAACAAAUUUAAAAAAUUUAAGACAUUAAAAAGAUAUUUCAAAUUAAUUUUUGGCUUGAAAUCAAUUUCUAUUUUAUUUUUAACUUUAAACCGACAUAUGACUUAUUAUCUAAACAAAUAUUUUUUAAUUUAAAGUCAAAAAUAUUUAGAGCCUGGACUUUUCAGACAAACAUGCUCAUAGCAAGAAGCCAAGAGCACGGGGCACGUGCCCUCCUAAAUUUGUUUUUUUAUAUUUUUAAUCAUUCUAAAUUUUAAAAAAUUAUAGAAACACUUCUAUAAAAUUUGAAAAUAUUCAAAUGUUUUCUGAAAAAUUGCUUAGUGCCUCCUAAAAUUUUGUGUUAACAUCCGCCUGUGACUCUGGGUAAGUGGUAACAGCAACAAACUCAUGGAUUAGACUUGUAGAAAAAUAUCGAAUUUCAGGCGAACACUUGGAAUCACGCAUACUCGAUCACACACUUUGCUCAAUAGAGUUACAACUAAGUAACGACAUUGUGUAACAACAACAAUGUCGUUAUGACGGAGCAACAGGGGCUAGUACUCACCUUCACUGCACAUAUCUUGUAUUACCUCCGUCCUAUCAAAUUUUUUGCAGUUUUUUUUAGACGUCGUUAAUUUUUUUACAUUAUAAAAUUUUUCUAAGAUAAUUAAUGGGUCUCACAACUUUCUCACUUUUCCUUUGUUUUAAUACUAUUUCUAUUUUUAUAUAUUAAGAAUCAAUGGACUCCAACACUUCACCUACUUUUUUUUUAUUUUUCCACUGUUUUAUACAUAUUUUUUAAUCUUCAUGCUCAAACCCAAUGUAAACAAUUAGUUGAGAUGGAGGGAGUAUUUUUUUCUUUUUCUUUGCCAAAUGUGAGCCAGUUUUUUCAUUAUAAAUAGAGCUCAAUCUUACCCAACUUCAGUAACUAAAACAAAGUCAAGUACUCGAAUUGUAUGCCCUAUAGCUUCAAUAUCUUUUGAUUUACUCUUAAAUUCUGAGAGUACUUCCAUCUAUAUAUACCAAAAACAAUGGCACCAGAGCAGAACCAUGCUAACGGCAUCAAUGCAGUGUCGAAGAGUGCUGAAAAACGAGAAAAGAAGGCUUUUGUGACAUUCUUGGUACGUUAAACAACUUCUGACUUUAAAGUUUCCCCUGUCUUUAUAAGUAGCUGCAGUGAUUUUUGCCUUGAGAGCAGUUCGUUUAAUAAAACUGGGUCACGUUUUGUUAUCUAUGGAGUAGCAUAUUUGAGUACUAUCCGUUUGUUACACGCCGAUAGUGUCUACAAAGCAUAAGUAAUUAUGCAACAGAUUAUAAAAACUGCAACCAAAAUUUACUUGUGACAUUGUUUAUUAGCUUAUUUGCUUUGGUUGUAAACUUGCAUAAUGCAAUACAUUUACUGGUGCAGCUUGAGGACUACAUCAAGAUGGUAUACUUAGAUGGGGAUAUUCAAGUAUACGGCAACGUGGACGAACUGUUUGACUUGCUGAAUGGUCAUUUGUAUGGUGCUUUGGAUUGUUUCUGCGAGCGGAGACAAGUUCAGGGAGGCACGUGUCAGAAAACCAGAUAAUAUUAGUGUCAAUGCUUUCGUAUCUGAUGAAAUUAAAGAAAAGGAAAAAUGAGCAGCAGUUUGGUUGCCUCCAGAAACUUAUCGACUAUAGUACUCAUCUAAAAGCUCCUGCGUACACCAUCUAUCCCUGUCCUUUUUGAUUUUUUGCGAUCAAAAUAACAAAUUUUGACUGCAAUUUACAUAUAUAAAAUAACUAAAAAAAAUUAUGAAAAAUAUAUUACUAGAAUCUACACCGAUUCUACUUUAAAAUGUAUUUUUUCAAUUUUAAAGAUUAUGUAAGAAUAAUUACUAAUUAUCGGUCAAAAUUUAUUCAAUUUGAUCAUAAAAAAUCAAACAAAACAGAUAAAUUAGGACUAAGGGAGUAUAGUAUUAUUUUAUUAGAGCCUGAGCCAUUUGUUUGAUUAUAAAUACAUCCCUUCUCAAUUCUUAUCACAUUCAAAACACAAACAAAUUCUGGAACUUACGAGCACGAUUGGAUAGCCCAGUGGUGGGUUUAUCCUCUGUUGACCCGGGGCACCCGGGUUCGACUCUGGCUCACCCCGAGAAUUAUUAGAACAGAUACUAAGUUGUAAGGCAUAUAAGCCUGCAUUGUCAAAAAAAAAAAAAAAAUCUGGAACUUACUAGCCAAGUAUUUUCAAAACCUAUAGUAAUCUGCUCUGUCCCAAAAACACACAAACACACCGCAAUCACAUCAACACCCUCGGGCUACAAAAGUUCCCACAAAGAAUGAAUUUAGACUCAACACCCUCGGGAAUGAAUUUAGACUCACUUGAUAAGGUAAAUUAUUCUAUAUUAAUAAUUUAAUAAUUGUGGACUAUUCCAGAAAAGCAAGUGCAUGUCACUUACUAUAGGUACGUGUCACUUACUAUAGCUAUGCGUAGGUGGAGUUGGGGUUGGAUCGAACAAGAGUCACGUGUUUUAAUUAUAUUAUUAUUUUUAUUAUUAUUUUUGUUUUAAGAUAUGUAGAUUAUAGUAAUAUUUUCAGUAAAAUUGAAGAUAUAGAGAUAUGCUUAAUGUCAUCGAAGCAAUCAACCUGCAUCUCGAAUCUAUCAAUUGGGUCCUGAUAAUGUAAUACUUCUUUUAUCCCAAUUAUUUUUUUUACACUUUUUUCUGGAAAAUUGAGAUGCCUCAUCUUUCAAAAUUUAUUAACUAAAAUAAAAUUUUAUAAUAUAAAAAUCAACUAUCUCAUUAAUUUUCUUCAUUAUACUUAUCUUAUAUAUUAAAUAUCAACCGGUCCCAUUAUUAUCAUUACUUUUCUAUUUUUUUUAUUUUUAUUUGAUAUAAAUAUUUAACUUUCGUGUCUAAUUUAAAUAUAAAUAUUUUGAAUGAGAACAAAGGGAGCACAACUUAUUUUGGACCAGAUGAAUUAGAGCAUUUAAAUCAGACCUAACUUGUGUAGUUUAAGCAUAACAAACAGAUGUAGUGUGUGGAAUCCCCCUAACUUUUAAAAUGUUUGUCUGAAAUCAACAAGAAGGUAAUAUAAAUGUAAGCAUAGCAAACAAUUUUUUAAUGUGUAUAUGGGCACACUAAUAUUAUUAUAGUAAAUUUUAUUGAUUUCAAUCACAUUAACAAUAAUGAUUUGUCUAUACACAUAAAUUUUUACUAAUAAUAAUUUAUAUUUAAAUAAUCAAAUAAUUAUUAAUGUGUAGUCAUGAACACAUACUAGAAUGACCCUUCCCAAAAAAAUAAAAGAUUGACACAAUAAAAUAACACCGCGCACAAAAAUAACGUCUUACCGUUAAUAUUAUGAACUAACAUGUAAUUUUACUGAAACAUUUUUUUUAAAAUUAUAAGAAACUAAAGUAUAGAUAAUUAAAUUUUGAUAAAAAUAAGAGAUAACAAAUUUGUAAUCACUUCUAAAUUAAUAAAUUAUAUAUGAAAUAACACAUUAAUUAUAUACAAAAAUACAAAAUUCAUUCACAAAGCUAUAUGACCGAAAUAUACGAAGGGCCCAUUUGGCUGAUUAAUACAAGCUUUUUGGUUAAGUUUAAAAUAAGUGUUUCUUCCUUAAUAUAAAAAGAUGAAGUAUAAGUUAGAAAAAAGUUAAUACUUAUAAGUGAUUAAAGUGUUUAAGAAAAAAGUAGAAGCCUUCAAACAAAAACUAAUAUUCUCAACUUUUUAUAAGUAUUUCUUGACUUUUUACACAAACAGUAUGAAUAAGUGCUUAUAACUUGUAAACAAGAAACAAGGCUUUUAACCCGACCAAACACCUCUAUAACUUAUGAAUGUAACUUAUUGUGAUAAGAUUGACAAUUUAACAUAUUUGUUUGGAUAAUUUUGAUUUAUUAAUAAUUUAUAGGUUAUCUAAAAUAAAAUUGAUUUAUGAGAAAUUUGUAUCUUAUGACUAAUUUUUAUCAUAACAAAUUUAAUAAAAUUAAAUCACUAAAAAUAUAUUUCAAAUUAACUUUUAACUUUAAAUCGAUAUCUGUUUUAUUUCUAAUUUUAACUGACUUGUGACUUAUUAUAUAAAUAAAUAUUUUUUAAUUUAAAAUCAGAAAUAUUAUGAGCUGGACUUUUUAUCCAGACAAAAAUACUCAUAGCAAGAAAUCUGAGUAACUAGCUUAUAACCCGUGUAAUGCACGGACGGUUAUAAUAUUUUUUAUUUUAGUGUAUAUAUUUUAAGUUUAACUAAUUUUAUUUUGAAAAUAAAAUGUGAUAGAGUAAUAUGGUUACAUCAUUUUUUUAUUUAACAGUUGUAUAAAUUCUUAAUAGUUAAGUUCGUCUAAUUGCUAAUUAAAAAUUAGGUCGAAUAUACAUAUUUUAAUUAUUAUGUUAAAUAUGUUUUUUACAUGUUAUAAUUUAAAGAGACUUAUAAAUGUAGAUAUAAACCAACCAAUCAAUCUUUUAAUAUUUCGUUAUUAAUAAUUAAUAAUAUAAUAUGAAACAUAUUAUAAAUUAAAGCGAAUAGUAAAUCCAAAUACCAACCUAAUUUUUAAUAGAUAAUAAAAAUAUAUAUUAUAAAUUAAGGAGAUCAGUGAGUUAAAUACCAACCGGCUCACCAAACUUGAAAGAUCGAUCUAUUGACCGACCAACUGAACUUUUCAGGUUUCGGCUUUAAUAAUAUGUAAUAUAUAGUAUAAUAUAGAUUGAUAAAUUACUUUUAAAGUGAGAUCAUUAGAGAAUUUAAAAGUAAUGUUAAUGUAUUUUGGUUGAAAAAUUUCACCCGUUACUUAUUAAUAAUUAUAUAUAUAAUAUAUAUUAUAUUUAUAUAUACAUGUUGCCUGUGUUAAUGGUAGAAAAUCGUCUUUUUAGUUAGAAAAUCUGAAAAGGAUAAUAUGUUUUAAUUAAAAAGGUAAUUACUAUGUUUCUCGAUGUUAUGUUACCACAAUUGAGAUUUUUUAGUUAGAAAAUAUAAAAAGAUAAUAUAUUUUAAUUAAAAGGAAUAAUUGAUUAUAUAGAUAUACUCAUAUUUCGGCCCAGGUAUCGACAAAAUCUAAAAAAGAUAAUAUGUUUUAAUUAAAAAGAUAAUUACUAUGUUACUCGAUAUUAUUUUAGAAGAUUGAGAUUUUUUUAUUGAAAAUUAUAAAAAAAAUAAUAUAUUUUGUGUCAAAGGAAUAAUUAGUUAUAUAGAUAGAUCCAUAUUUCGGCCCAAGUACCGACCAACUGAUCGACCGACCCACCAGUCAAACUUUUAUCAUAUCCGUUUUAAUAGUAUAGUAUAUAUAGAUAGCAACAAUUUGCUCAACAGAAUGACAAAGUAUAGUAUAUAUAUUUCGAAUAGUAUAUUUGGAAUUUGAUAGUAUAAUAUAUUUCGAAUUUAAUAGUAUAGUAUGGGCCUGUUUGGGAAUGAGAAUCAAAUUCUGCUUCUGCCUUCUGUUUUUCUGGACCCGUUUGUGUAAAGAAGUAGAAGCACUUUUAAGAAGCUGAGAAUACUAGCUUCUCUCUCACAGUUUCUGCUUCUUUUUCAAACACUUUAUUAACUUUUUUACUUCUCACUUCCACUCUCUUAAGGACAAAAUCACUUUUUUUAAGUUUGGCUAAACGGCCCCUAUAUUUCAAAUUUAAGGCAGUAUAUUUGGAAUCACGCGCAUUUAUCACACAAUUUGCUCAAACAGAAUUACAAGUAGACAACAAUGUCGUUAUGACGGAGCGGGGGCAGUGGCAUAUAUCUUCUACAUUUUUAAUAAAAAAAUUAUUUUAUCCUAUAAUUGUGGAACCGGAUUUUCCCGAUAAAAUAUAUCUGGUUCCCGUCGGACUAAAAUUUUAGCUCUGUCCAACCAUAAAACAUAGUAAAGUAUUUGGUAUAACACCAUUAACCUAAAUUUUUACUCCUUUGUUGUAACUCACAUAACACGUGAAAUAAGUGGGAGUUCAGAUUCUUCAAUUAGUCAUGCUCUGGUAACUAAAUUUGUUGAGAAAGCAGAUUAAAGGUAGAAGAAUAAUAAAGAAAGAGAUUAAGAAUCUAAUACGUAAAUUUAGAUAACUAUAUUAUUUUAUGUGGGGUUUACUAGCAACUAGCAAAUAGAAACUAUUAUUUUAAGUUGAUAAUAUCAUCAUUUAAGUAUGUAUCACGUUUUCGCAACUUAAAAUAUUGUCAAAAGAAUAAUCACCACCCAAAUUAAAAGGAUAUCGCACCAUUCCCACCAUUUAAGCAGUUCCGACUUCCAAACAUACGAGCGUGUGGACCUCGAGCUGUCGAGCAUGCAUGUUAGCUUUCUGUUUUCUUAUAUGGAUAUUUUUGUGGGAAUAAUAAUGCGGAAUAAAUUAAAGUCGAGUUAAUAUUAAUAACAGCAAUAGAAUAACUUAUGUAUCUGUUAAUAGUAUUCCCUAAUUAAAUUUUAAUUCUGAAUUAAAAGUUCAUAUCAAACAAAUUUUCCGCCAGUAGUAUAAAAACUUACGUACUCCUUCCGUUUUCGUAAUUUCUUUACAAUAUUUUUACAUUACAUUCAUAUAUAUUCUAUAUCAGAUAAAAUUUUAUAAAAAAAUUUCUAAACUUUUUUUGUUGAUAUACAUAUUAAAAUAAUAAAAUUUUAUUCUAGAAAAAUUUCUAUAUUAUUUAUAAAAAUAUAAUUUAUAAAAAUUUUAAAAUAUGUGAUAAACCAUUAUUUUCAAUUAAAUAAUGGAACGAGUAUUAGGUAAACAACUACUCCUUCUGUUUGUCCACUCCUGUGGACUAAAAAACAUCAACUUUCAAUAGAGUAUAGUUAAUAUUUGUAUUUUUCAAGAUGAGAUUUAUAUCACAUGUUAUUUUUUUUUUGACAGAUAUACCAUGUUACUUAAUUAUAUUUACUACAUCAAAUAUAUCAAUGUAAUAAAUAUAAUAAUAAAUGUGAGUUCUUUUGACAAAAGUUAGUUUUUCUUAAUAUGCCUAAUUUAUUCAAAAAUAGACAUGUAUUAUAAAACAGAAUGAAUAUUAAGUAAACAAUCACGGAACAAGUAUCAAGUAGCCUCAAGGCCGUGACUUCCUGAGUUCCUGAAGCAAUAGGUUUCACGGAUCUGAAAAUCUCAUCAAAGGAAAUUUCACAUACUUAUAUUUCACAUGAAUUUCAUACAUUCAAUACAAGCAUUUAAUGUAAUUACAUACACACACAUUUAAUAUAGCAAACAUAUUUAAUACACACACAUUUAAUGCAAAGAAAUGAAAAUCACUUACUUGAAAUGUUUGUAAGUAAUAAUUCUUCCCCACUUUAACUCCUUUCUUCUCCUUUGUUUUUUAUUUCAAGUGAAUAUGAGAGCUCACUACUAGCUAAAAGUGAUAUAAACGCUGCAGGUUAAAACCGACUGACCAAUCGGUCGGUUUUAGUACCAAACAAAAAAACGACGCCGUUUUAAGGGGCUGACGCACAUAUAUUUUUAUUUAAAUUGAUUUUUAAUUAUUUUUCCACAGACAACAAAACCGACCACAGAUAACGGUCGGUUAUAACGUUGCCAGGUCAUACAUAUAAUUAACCGUUGUCCACGGUCGGUUUUAUUUGUUGUCACGUCACCCAGAUCGUCGUCGUUUUGUGAUUUCGGCCAGAUAAAACAGACCACGCGACCGUCGGUCGGUUUUAGUUGCGACGGUCGGUUUUGUGCGGUCGAUUUUGACCUGUUUUCUUGUAGUGUCUGGUCUCCAAUUUCAUAUAGUCUGCUGUCUCCUGAAAGUUAUAGCAGCUGAUACUGUAACUAACUAGUGCUAUUUAGUAAACGGCCAGUCGUUCCUUAUUUGACAAUAAACGUGCCAAUUUAUCAAAAGAAACGUGCCAAUGUGGAGUAUUCUUUUCUUUUUCUUUGCCAAAAUUAAGAGCCAAAAUUUUCAUUAUAAAUAGAGCUCAAUCUUACCACACUAACCAAAACAAAGUCAAGUACUCGAAUUGUAUGCCCUAUAGCUUCAAUAUCUUUUGAUUUUCUCUUAAAUUCUGAGAGUACUUGCCUCUAUAUAUAUCAAAAACAAUGGCACCAGAGCAGAACCAUCCUAAUGGCAUCAAUGCAGUGUCGAAGAGUGCUGAAAAAGGAGAGAAGAAGGCGUUUGUGACGUUCUUGGGAGGGAGUGGUGACUAUGUGAAAGGCGUGGUUGGACUCGCCAAGGGCCUGAGGGAAGUGAACUCAGCCUACCCUCUUGUGGUGGCCGUUUUGCCUGAUGUUCCCCCUGAGCACCGCCUUUUGAUGGUGAAGAAUGGCUGCAUUCUCAAAGACAUUGACUGGGUUCAGGCACCCGAAAUGGACAAAUCAAAAGUAGGCUGGGCUCAUGAGCACUUCGCCAUUAACUACUCCAAGCUUCGUAUUUUCGAGGUACGUUAAACAACUUCUGACUUCGUAUUAUGCAAUAUUGCAAUAACUUAUAAAUCGUGCAACAAAAUUUACUUGCGGCAUUGCUUAUUAGCUUAUUUGCUUUGGCUUUAAACUUAUAUUUAUGAUCCAAUACAAUACUGUGCAGCUCGAGGAGUACUGCAAGAUGGUAUACUUAGAUGGGGAUAUUCAAGUAUACGGCAACGUGGACGAACUUUUUGACUUGCCGAAUGGCCAUUUGUAUGGUGUUUUGGAUUGUUUCUGUGAGUGGCAUCAUUCUCCUCAGUACAAGAUUGGCUACUGCCAACAGUGCCCCGAUAGGGUGCAGUGGCCAGCCGAAUUGGCACAAGCUCCGUCCUCUUAUUUCAAUGCUGGAAUGUUCGUGUUCGAGCCGAGUCAAGCCACUUAUGAUGAUCUGAUCAACACUAUCAAAAUCACUCCUCCCUCGUCCUUCGCUGAACAGGUAUAACAUAAAAUUUGUUGACAUAUUACUCCGACUCGUAAUAACAGUUAAGUGACCGGUUGUCCUAAAAUCUCGAAAUUACGUGCAGGACUUGCUGAACUUGUACUUCAGGGGAAUUUUCAAGCCCAUUCCGAAUAUUUACAAUCUUUUAGUUCCCAUGUUGUGGACUCAUCCGGAGAAUGUGGAGCUUGAUAAAGUGAAAGUUGUGCAUUUCUGCGCAAAUGUAAGAUACCGAUUACCCUGUCUCUGAUUCGGUUGUUUCUAUGAAUUUCCACCCGAAUGGAUUUACUUAUACACAUAUCUGUGCUUUUCCAAUGCUAGGGUUCGAAGCCUUGGAGAUACACCGGAAAGGAUGAACAUAUGCAGAGGGAAGAUGUGAAGAUGCUCGUGCAAAAAUGGUGGGACAUCUAUGACGAUGAUUCGUUCAGCUGCAAGAAGCCACUGGCAGCAAAGGUUCGAGGCAAGCGUGUGCAGACUAGCAGACCACUUAACUGAACUUGUUGUGUCUAUAAAUUUCGUGUUCCAUAUAUGUUCUAAGUUAUAGCAUUGUACUAAAGCAAGUGAUUAGUAGCUUGCGGUGUGUUUCUUCCAUUUUAUUGUUUUCCGGUUAAACUGUUUUUUAAACUUUCAACUAAUUAAACAUCGUUAUAUGUCUCUUAAUCAUCUGUUCACGCAUCAUGUUUGUGGUCUAUGUUCAUCAUCUAAAUGCAUCUGUAGGAAUAUAAAUAUAACAGUUCACAAGAUCAGACACUUUACCAAAACAAACGAUCAUAUACGACGGAAUACCGUAUUGCCUUGCCUAUCCUACGGCUACACAAAACGGAUUCAUGAUUAUAUAGUGAAAAUGUGUUUGGAAAAUCUUUCCGCUUAUGAAACGAGUCGCUAGUUAUUUAUAGUACUCAAGGACCAUGUGUUUGUGGUAUUUGCCUUUUGUACAUGGAAACUCGUUAUAAUAAUAAUUCUAUGAAAAACCGUUAGGCCGAGUUCACUUGCAUAUAAUGGAAUACGACUAGAAUGAAAUGAAAAUUGUACUCUAAAUUGGACGUGAUCAUUAGAUAAAUUGUCUAUAAUUUUCAUUCAUUUAUUUCAUUCCAACUAUUUAAACUAUAAAUAUAAUUAUCCACUAUGUUAUGAAAGGAAUAUUCAUUCCAUUUGUUAAUCUUGUUUCCCUGUUAUCUUCUUUAUAAAAAAACUUUAACUCACUCAUAUUUAUUUAUUAUAGUCUCAUACUUUGUUCUUUCUCCAUAAAAUUAUUCUAUAUAUUUAAUUGUCAUUUCAUUUCAUCCAAGUCAACGUAACCCUAUUUUGUUAGAAAGUUUAAAUAUUAUAACAAAAAUUUAAAAUAGAAAGAUGGCACCUUAGUUUUAUUCUAAAUUUGAGAUGUUUUUGGUUGGGAAUAUUUUACGAAUCAAAUAAAAAAUGAAUUAAAAACUGAGUGUUUACUGUAAGAAGUGGGACUUGAUUACAAUAUUGAUACUAUAUGUGACUCAUAAUAUAUUGUUAGGAAAAAUAAUAAAGAUAUCAACAACAAAUUUAUGUUGGAAAUUAGUAGAAAAGUUGAGAUUUUAAAUAUGAACGUUUUAAAAUUUGGAACAUGUGGAUUAAAUGAAAAUCAUUUGAAUAUUGCGUUUGAACUAGUAAAGAAAUUUGUGCAAAGAAAUAUUUAAUCAUUUUAGAAUAUAAAAAUGUAGUUCGACUGAUGUAAAAUAAUGGGGAAAGGAUAAAUGUAAAAAAAGAAUCACUAAAUAUACAGGUAAUCCAAAUUUUGAUGUGUCUCGUAUUGUAUACUCGUGUGUCUUUACUUAAAAAAUUUAAUCAGUCUAGUAAAUGAAAACGGAAAAAGAAAAAAAACAACUACUUAAUCAGGCCUCUUGAGAGAUUGUGCAGAGAAUACUCGAAGUACGUGAACUGUAUAUUGGUAGAUUAAUAAUAACAACAAAAGAUUAUAAUUGGAUUAUAAAUUUAAUUUAUUAGUCGAGUGUGAUAAUGGAUUGUUAAUACAGAUUUACAUUUAGAAUAAAAUUACUAUUAGUUUUGGAAUUAGGAUUCAGAACUCUAAAUAUUGUUUCUCUUAUUCUUUUAUAUUUUCUUAUGAGCACUCAAGUUUUCUUAAGAUUUUAUCAUCAACUUCGCCCUAUCAUGCUAUUGAAUUUGGUAGGGUUUUACAUACACAAAUUAAUAGAUUUUUGGAUUUAUAAUUUGAUUUAUAUUCUAAUUUUGCUAUAUAUAAUAUAAUAGUUCGAAAAAGUGAAAGCUUAAUUGCUUAUAAAGCAAACAUGGUUGAAAUCAUUGUUCCUCCUGCGCAAGUUUUGAAGUAAUAAUUGAUUGAAGUUGAGAAAGUAAGAAAUUUGAUGUACGGGGAGAAAUGAAAGUGAUAAUAUUAUAUACGAUUUAAAGGAAAAAUAACAAAAAGCAUUUCUGUGAAGGUAUUUGUCGUGUUAUCGUGAUUUAAUUCAGGAUAUUUGAUUUUAUACAAUAUCGAAUUUUAUUUAAAUGAACAAUGAGAAUGCAUCCUUUUAUAUUAACUCAAGAAAAAAAAUAGAAAUUAUGAAAUAUUCUCAAAACAUAUGAUAAGUGCAAGACAAUAAUAUUAUCGUGUAUCUUUUAUGUAUAUUUUUUAAAUAAUUAUAAUAGAAUCAAAUAAAAUCAAUUUUAUAAAUAUCAUAAUUUUAACUUACUGUAAAUUUUUUUUCGAAAUGCAGAAUUUACGUUAGACAAUCAAAGCAUCGUAAAUAAUGCUCUCCAACACCAAUGAUGGAGGAGACAAAAAUCAAUAAAGUUACUAUUUAACAAGUGGGCUACUUUGUUGGCAUGCUUCUAAUUAACUAGACAGAAAUGUCUAGGAGAUCCCUCAUGUGAAUGACUCUCUUGCAGCAAAUUGUCUACUUCAAGAAAGUUCUCCUUGUCCUUGCAGAUUGCUUGCACAGUGAGCAUGAAAUCACAUUCUAUCACUACAUUCUCUGUUCCCAGCUCCAUCACCCACUUUAUUGCCUCUAAAACACCACACGCCUAUGCUUCAAACACUGAAACCUCUCCUUCCUGACACAUACUUCGAGCUCCGUGGAAUGCUCCCUCAUGGUCUCGUAAGAUCAUACAAUUGAAUAAUUAGACCUCCCUAAGAAUACUGAUGCGUCUACAUUAACCUUAAAUUGAUUGACAUCUGGAGCUUUCCAUUGCAUUGCAUCACUGAUCAGUCUCUGAGCUCUUACAUUUGCAUGUCCUGUGUUCGUGUUCUGUGCUUCUCGUCACUGAGUUACCUGCUGCAAUCUUCAAGUCAACCGAAAUAUAAACAUUUAGGCGGCAUUACUUUGUUUAAAUAUAUCGUCUUUUAUGUUCCGCAUUGCAUGCUCCAUGCAGGCAGAAGCAGUUCAGAUGUACCAAAUGCCAAUUCAAAUCUCUCUUCUACAAAAGAGAUACUCUUUUUUGUGUUUUCGCAACAGCCUUUUCGACAUUAUGAGUUAUCUUCGAUUUCAAGUAUAUAAUAUUGCAUCGAUCUCCUGACCUUUUGCUCCACGUACGGUGAAACUAAUUCGCGAGAAGUUUAAUAUGGCCGAACUCGAAUAAUUCUAUUUAAUCAAGUACCUUAUCAAAAAUCAAGCUGGACUCUGACUUUCAUAUAUUUGAUAAGUCUCAGAUUCUGUAAAAAAAAAAAAAAAAAGAUGAGUCUCAGAUUCAAAUAAAUAUAAACCAGAACGCGCACAUCAUUAAGUGUAAACAUCCAUGUUAUUAACUACUUUGGGAAAAAUUUGUCCGACUAAGAUUGAAUAUCAUGAGUGUAUCAAGUGAUAAAGGGAAAACUUUACAUCUGAGAUUCACUGUUCUAUACAGAAAACCUUCAUUAUAAAAAACAGUUUGGUUUAAAAAUAUUUACGACUUUAAACUGUUCGUUAAAAUUAGAAACUAACCUAAAUUAAAAUAUAAGUUAGAAAAUGAUUAGCUAAUUCCAAUCAGAUUUCGACGGUAGAAAAUAUUCGUGAUUCUUGUAAUGGAAGUUAGUUCUAUGCACAUUUUUUCUAUCAACUUAUUUUAAUUUUAUAAAUUUUUAAAUAAAAUUCAAUUUCAGCAAUAAAAUAAAUAACUUAAAUAUCAAAAUCAAUUAUUAUUUUUUAAUUCACCUAUAAUUUAAAAUUGCUCACAUUAAGCCAGUGCAAGGCACAACUCAUUAUUUUAAACCUAUCCGAACGUGUUCUAAAUUUAUUAAUUGAAAAAAGACCCUACUUAGCUAAAUACAAAAAAUAAUUAUUAAAGAUAAUAAUGUCAUAUUAAAGUUAUAAUAAAUAUGUACCACACAAUUUAAACUUGCAUGUACAUGCAAUAUAUGUAAUAUACGUACAUAUGCGGAUACUUCUUUAUAGAUAAGAAAAACAAGGACAUGACGGGAGUCCAAUAACCAAGUUGCUGGACGAAAACGAAAUAUAGAAAACAAGUUGCAUAAUAAUACAAGUGCUGCAUUAACUUAUUUGAUCCAUGCUUUCCAAGAAGUUGUGAUAAACAAAAAUUUGCAUGACUGAGCUAGUCGGACGCUCCACACGGAUGUCCAUAUCAAUGAGCCUACUCAAUUAUAGUGCACUUGCUUAGAAAUUUGACCUGUCGGACAAUAGGCGCGGGACAAUAAUCUCACGUUUCGAAUUGGCCGGUGAAUUUUUACCAUAAAUAAAUUCACGUUUGAUUUUGCGAUGUAUGUCUGAGCAUGAAUAAUACAGUAAAGAAUUGAAUUAAAGUCUAUAAGUAGACCCCUUAGAAUAGAUUCCUCUGAGUAUAAUAUUGGCCAAACAAUUUGGUGCUCGUGUGGGGUUACCACACAGAUUUGAUAUUUUAUGCUUUCGUUCUGGUUGGUUCUUCUGCAUUCUUUCUCUUAUUUUAAGUAAUGAUAAUUAAUACUCCCUCCGUCCGGAUAGGUUAUAUACAUUUGGUGUACACACAUAAACCAAGAAAAACUAUAAAAAAUGAGUAAAGUUAGAUGAAAAAUGGGUAAAGUGGCGGGACCUAUUUAUAUUUAAUUAUAGAAUUGUGAUAGUGGAGGAAAGUUUUGACUGUAAUAAUGUUUAUAUUAUGAUAAAAUGAAGAUAAUGGGAGAAAGUAGUUUGUGUGAUAGUAUUUUAUAUUAUUAAAAGUUACUAUUUUAGGAAUGUAGAGAAACGAUGAAACAUCCAAAAAAAAUUGUAUAAAAAUGAUUGGGAUAGAGGGAGUAUUGUAUUUUAUAUAAGGGGGCUCCCACAUUGUUUCACGUGUAAGCAUACGCUUGAAUAGACAUUUUCAUCGGUUUUCCAUUUUUAACUUGAGAGUGUGAGAGCAAUAUUGGUCUAGACAAAAAAAUAGAGUUGUAAUAUUUGUCAUAUAGAGAUUUAGUUGAUCCAUGUAAUGUAUUUGCUGCCAGAUGUGAGAUGAAUAUCUUUUAUUUGAAACGGAUAUAUUUUAUUGUAAGUUAUGUAUUACACUUAUGUAAUUUGAAAUAUUACUUACAAGAUAUAUAUUUAAAACCAUUAAUUUAAUUUUAUAUCAAUAUUAUUAUGUACGUAAUAAAGAUGAAAAUAAUAUAAAAAUUAUUUACCAAACUCACAUACCUACCCCUAGUGAAAAAUUCAUAAUUCUUGAGUAUUAGAUUUUCAAAUUUUCAUCUUUUAAAUUACAUAUAAUGGAUGAAUUUAAAGUGAUUAAAAGAUAUAUAUGAUGAGUAAAACGCCCUUUAACAGGCCGCAAAUCAUAUAGUUUAUCAUAUAGUUUUGGUUCUUGGUGGCAGCCGUUGCAUGAAUUCUGACCACCUUUUAGUACCAUACGUAAUUCAUAACUGCAUCGCCAUCUCAUGAAGAUCCGUGAUCUUUGACAUUAACUGUACUUGCUCGAUCAUAUGUGUAUGGAGUCGGGUGGCCUGGACCAAACCUAGCUAGGUCAGGACUAACUAAACCUAACUCCUAUCUUUCAAGAAAAUAAACUCUAGGUUUAGUAUCCAUAUAACAUAUAUAGGCAUCGCAAUUUGAAACGUAAUACGUUAACACGAAACGAAACGACACAAAAAAAACGGAUAUGAGUUUUGAUUUUUGAUACACAAAACACGAAAGUACACGAACACGAAAUUACACAAUAGAUUUCAUAUCGGAUAUGGGUUUUCAGUUUGGAUACACGAAAUACACGAAAAUACACGAAAUAUUUGUACAUAGAUUUCAUUAUAUAUAUAUAUAUAUAUAUAUAUAUAUGUUAUAAUAUAUUAUAUAUAUAAUUGUGUUAAAUAAAUAUAUAUUUAUAUGAAUAUGAAGAUACAUAUUAUAGAUACAUUAACAAAUUUGUAGAUAAUUGUAUGCGAGCAUAAAUAUAUCAUUCAUAUUUAGUAAAACUAUACAGAAAAAUAUAUAUUAAAGCUAUAUUUUGAUUAAAAAUAUAUUAAUAUAUAUAUAUAUAAUGUAUACGAAAAAUACACGAAACGUUUCGGAUCGGAUACAGGUUUCAAAUUAGGAACACGAAAUUAAUAACGGGCGGAUACGGGUUUCACCUUUGAGUACACGAAACACGAAAAUACACGAAACGAAAAUAUACAAAACAAAACGAUUACCACCUCAAUCCAUAUAGUCCCUGUUUAGUACUCGACACAUAUUUUAAUGCUAUAAUAUAUUUUAAUGUUUAAACUUUUGUAUAGAAAAGAAAAUUUUAAGAAUAAAUGAUGAAAUUAUGUUUUAAUAUGUGACUUAAAAUACGUUCAAACAAUUAAAAAAAACUGCAAAGAAAAUGAGAAGGACGGAGAGAGUAUACAUACUACAUAUACCAUAUGCCGUGAAUGUUUGUUUACUUUAUAUUAAAAUUUAAUCACAUAUGUAGUGGAAAAGUUAUGUCUGCUUAUAACUAAGAUAUUUCAUUUAUAUAUUUUUCAUUUAUUUACGAAAAUAAACAUUUAAAAACUUAAAUUAAAAAUUACAAUAAUAUAGAUAUGAAAUUUUAGCUAAAUCUCAGAGUAUCCAAGGGUUAAGGUGCAGGGUCAUCUGCCUCGUGUCCUUGAGAACCUGUACGGCUGUACCCAUGCAUAAAUACGUGCGAAUUACAGUAUGUACUACUGUAUUAAUUACCUAUAGGUACUCAGUACUCGGUGUAAUUUUGUCCUUACUUCGUCUCACCAGAUUUUUUACAGUUUUUUUUAAGCCGUCUCACUCAUUUAUUUACAUUACAAAACUUUUCUAAAAUAGUUAAUGGGUCUCAUAAUUUCCCCACUUUUUCUUCCUUUUCACACUACUUUUACUCCACUAUAUUUAAAAAUCAAUGGGUCCCGCCACUUCACCAAUUUUUCUUCCUCUUUUCCACUACUUUAUACAUAUUUCUUAAUCUCCAUGCCCAUGUCCAAUGUAAAGAAUUGGGUGGGACGGAGGGAGUAAUCUAAUAGACUUCUGAAAAAUUACGUAAAAUGUUACUCCCUUUGAUUCUUUUUAUUUUGCCGGUUUCAUAUGUUGGCACUGUUCAUGACACGAGACAAAUUACUUAUUUACGUCUAAUCUAUAAGAUUAAAUAUAGUAAUGAGUGAUUUUGUUGAAUUCAUAAUUACGAGUAGUUUAAUAUGAUGAAGUUUAUUUAUUCAAUACAAAUACAAAAUUAAAGAUAUUAAUGAUUAAAAGUGUGUGUUGGCAAACGUGACAAAGACAAAUGAGAAAAGUAUUUAGGGAUGGAGGGAGUAGCAACCGCAAACCCUGACUUGACCAUAUGAUACAGCGUGGAUCCAAUAUUAUAUCAUAAUUCAAAAAUAUUGUUGUUUAGCAAAUUAUAUUUUGACGGCAAAAUUGUAUUUAGAUGCUGCGAAUUACUUGUUUGAUUUCUUUUCCAGUUACCGGCCUGUUUCAUCUCUUUCUCCGUCCUGGCCUCGAACUAGGGAUGACAUUCAAUGAUUUAAUAAAACGAGCCACAUUAACCCAGGAGUAUUGAUCAGAAAAUAUCUAAUCAACCGGAUUUGUCAGACCCAUUGUGACUUUGGUCGACCUUCGUUCGAUAGCAAAUUAGUUCUGUCAAAAUUGUGUAACUGCUAGUUUUCGGUCAAAAUUUAUCAGUAAGUUUGCCUUUUCUGUUCUUCAAAUAUAUUUGUCGAAAAUAAUUAAUUAAUAGUUCUUUUUAGUAGGAAUAGUAUCCCUAUAUAAUUCUAGAGAAGUUGCAUUAUUAUCAUAUUCAUUCACUCUUUUUUAAAUCAGUUUCAUGCCCUAAUUUUAAUUAAUAACUUUAGACGGUAUUUUUCCUUUCAUCCUUUCCUUUUCGAAGUCCAUUCUGAUAUGAAAACAAACAACAAAACUCCAAAGAAAAUGAGCAAAACAGUUGUCUGUAGAAGGCUACAGUGUACAGCUACCAGCCAAUAUUUUCUUUUUUUACAAAAGAAAAGAAAUUAAAUAAGAGCCAGCAUUUUUCAUUAUAAAUAAGGACCAUCUGACCACCUUCACUACCAAAAAAAGUGUGGUGCUUGCAAAUAUAUGCCCAUUAGCUUCAGUAGCUAUUGAUUGUUUUGUUUGAGAGUUGUUUAAUUACAGAUAUCUCUUACAUACAAUCGAUGGCACUGGUACUAGAACAAAAUCAUCCGAGUGGUGUCCGUACAAUGUUCAAGAAUGGUGAAAAGGGCAAAAAGAAGGCCUUUGUGACGUUCUUGGGAGGUAGUGGUGACUAUGUGAAAGGUGUGAUUGGACUGGCUAGGGGUCUGGCUAACGUUAACUCAGCCUACCCUCUUGUUGUGGCUGUUCUGCCUGAUGUUCCUCUGGAGCACCGCCUUCUGAUGGUGCAGAGUGGUUGCGUUCUCAAAGAUAUUGAUUGGGUUCAGCCUCCAAAAAUUGAUGAAUCAAUAGGGUGGGCUCAUGAGCACUUCGCCAUCAACUACUCCA
RNAcentral lists this long non-coding RNA (20784 nucleotides) under Daucus carota (carrot). RNAcentral describes it as "long non-coding RNA (DCAR_LNC000596)". The record is from RNAcentral. Lineage: Eukaryota; Viridiplantae; Streptophyta; Magnoliopsida; Apiales; Apiaceae.